UACAGAGGUCCCGAGCGUUGUUCGGAUUCAUUGGGCGUAAAGGGUGCGUAGGCGGUCUGCUAAGUUUGGUGUGAAAUCCCCCGGGCUCAACCUGGGAAUUGCGAUGGAGACUGCAAGGCUAGAAUCUGGCAGAGGGGGGGGUAGAAUUCCAGGUGUAGCGGUGAAAUGCGUAGAUAUCUGGAGGAAUACCGGUGGCGAAGGCGGCAUCCUGGACCGGCAUUGACGCUGAUGAGCGAAAGCUAGGGGAGCAAACGGGG
Molecule: ribosomal RNA, 257 nt
Filed under: uncultured bacterium
Lineage: Bacteria
Description: partial 16S ribosomal RNA
Rfam family: Bacterial small subunit ribosomal RNA
Source: RNAcentral